AGUGAACGCUGGCGGUAGGCCUAACACAUGCAAGUCGAACGGCAGCACAGUAAGAGCUUGCUCUUACGGGUGGCGAGUGGCGGACGGGUGAGGAAUACAUCGGAAUCUACUUUUUCGUGGGGGAUAACGUAGGGAAACUUACGCUAAUACCGCAUACGACCUACGGGUGAAAGCAGGGGAUCUUCGGACCUUGCGCGAUUGAAUGAGCCGAUGUCGGAUUAGCUAGUUGGCGGGGUAAAGGCCCACCAAGGCGACGAUCCGUAGCUGGUCUGAGAGGGUGGUCAGCGACACUGGAACAGAGACACGGUCCAGACGACUACGGGAGGAAGCAGUGGGGAAUAUUGGACAAUGGGCGGAAGCGAGAACCAGCCAUACCGCGUGGGUGAAGAGAGCCUGCGGGUUGUAAAGCCCGUUUGUUGGGAGAGAAAAGCAGCAGGUUAGUACCCCGCUGUGCUGACGGUACCCAAAGAAUAAGCACCGGCUAACUUCGUG
This 492-nucleotide ribosomal RNA is filed under the name uncultured bacterium. Its description in RNAcentral is "partial 16S ribosomal RNA". It matches the Rfam family "Bacterial small subunit ribosomal RNA", at positions 29 to 507 of the family's 1533-position model. The record is from RNAcentral.